This 674-nucleotide ribosomal RNA is filed under the name uncultured Erythrobacter sp. Its description in RNAcentral is "bacterial SSU rRNA". It matches the Rfam family "Bacterial small subunit ribosomal RNA", at positions 38 to 758 of the family's 1533-position model. Lineage: Bacteria; Pseudomonadati; Pseudomonadota; Alphaproteobacteria; Sphingomonadales; Erythrobacteraceae. The record is from RNAcentral.
GGCGGCAUGCCUAACACAUGCAAGUCGAACGAACCCUUCGGGGUUAGUGGCGCACGGGUGCGUAACGCGUGGGAAUCUGCCUUUAGGUUCGGAAUAACUCAGAGAAAUUUGAGCUAAUACCGGAUAACGUCUUCGGACCAAAGAUUUAUCGCCUUUAGAUGGGCCCGCGUUAGAUUAGAUAGUUGGUGGGGUAAUGGCCUACCAAGUCGACGAUCUAUAGCUGGUCUGAGAGGAUGAUCAGCCACACUGGGACUGAGACACGGCCCAGACUCCUACGGGAGGCAGCAGUGGGGAAUAUUGGACAAUGGGGGAAACCCUGAUCCAGCAAUGCCGCGUGAGUGAUGAAGGCCUUAGGGUUGUAAAGCUCUUUUACCCGGGAUGAUAAUGACAGUACCGGGAGAAUAAGCUCCGGCUAACUCCGUGCCAGCAGCCGCGGUAAUACGGAGGGAGCUAGCGUUGUUCGGAAUUACUGGGCGUAAAGCGCGCGUAGGCGGCUAUUUAAGUCAGGGGUGAAAUCCCGGGGCUCAACCCCGGAACUGCCCUUGAAACUGGAUGGCUAGAAUCCUGGAGAGGCGAGUGGAAUUCCGAGUGUAGAGGUGAAAUUCGUAGAUAUUCGGAAGAACACCAUUGGCGAAGGCGACUCGCUGGACAGGUAUUGACGCUGAGGUGCGAAA